Gopherus evgoodei (Goodes thornscrub tortoise) is the source of this 346-nucleotide non-coding RNA. NCBI's taxonomy places the organism in Eukaryota, Metazoa, Chordata, Testudines, Testudinidae. The record is from the annotation of a RefSeq genome assembly.
AUGGCCUGGGCCCCUCGCUCCUCACGCUGCUCACUUACUGCACUGGGUCCUUGGCCCAGUUUGUGCUGACUCAGCCGCCCUCAGUAUCAGCGUCUCCUGGCAACGGUUACGAUCUCCUGUGCCAGGAGCAGCGGCAGCAUCAGUAGCUACUAUGUCUCCUGGUAUCAGCAGACCCCUGGCCGUGCUCCAGUACUGAUUAUAUAUGAGGAUAGCAAGCGGCCCUCAGGGAUUCCAAGUCGAUUCUCUGGUGCCAUUGACAGCUCUGCCAAUGCUGCCACUCUAACCAUCUCUGGGCUCCAAGCCGACGAUGAGGCUGAUUAUUAUUGUGCUUCAUAGAUGGCAGCUA